Molecule: ribosomal RNA, 238 nt
Filed under: uncultured bacterium
Lineage: Bacteria
Description: partial 16S ribosomal RNA
Rfam family: Bacterial small subunit ribosomal RNA
Source: RNAcentral
UGAGCAAUCUGCCCUUCUCUUUGGAAUAAGCGUUGGAAACGGCGUCUAAUGCCGAAUACGACCUCCUUUCGCAUGAUCGGAGGUGGAAAGCUCCGGCGGAGAAGGAUGAGCUCGCGGCCUAUCAGCUAGUUGGUGUGGGUAAUGGCCCACCAAGGCGACGACGGGUAGCCGGCCUGAGAGGGUGACCGGCCACACGUGGGACUGAGACACGGCCCAGACCUCCGUACGGGAGGNAGCG